Molecule: long non-coding RNA, 801 nt
Filed under: Gossypium raimondii (Peruvian cotton)
Lineage: Eukaryota; Viridiplantae; Streptophyta; Magnoliopsida; Malvales; Malvaceae
Description: long non-coding RNA (GRAI_LNC004344)
Source: RNAcentral
ACCUGCUGCUGUGCUGUUGGGCCUGGGCUGAAAUGGCUUGCUGCUUGGGCUUGGACAGGCCUGCUAUUUUUUUGCUGUUGCUAUUUUCUUACUGCUGCUGUUUUUUUGGGCUGAUCUGCUACUGUUGGGCCUACUAGACUGAUGGGUCGGGUCGGGUCAGUUUGGCCCUGCUGUUAAAAUUUUUAUUUUUUUCUCUUUUUUCUUUCCCUUUCUUCUUUCUUUUUUCUUCUAUCUUUCUUCUCUUUUUCUCCUUUUUCUUCUUCUCCUUCGACAGCCCUGACGUCACCUCCCCAGCCCAGUACGACGGUAGACGGUGGCUGUGGAGCUCUCCUCUCUUCUUCUUUUUUUUCUCUUUUUUCUUCCUUACUAUUUCUUUUUGCUUUUUCUUUUGCUUGCUGGUUUUUCUUUUGUUUAUGCUUACCUGGUUCUUGGCUUGGGUUCGACGGUGGAGCAACGAUAGCGGUGGCGCGACGAUCGUGGUAGCGGUGGGGGAAAUUAGUUGGAUUUGUGAGCUUUUUUUUUGAAAUUUUUCUGCUAUUUUUUUUCUCUUGGCUAUCGAAUUUUUCCUCUUUCUCUUCAAUUUUCUUUUUAAUCCCUCAAUUUUGUCUUAUUCCUCUUUGUUUUCAGGUGGCAGCGGAGAAAGGAGGCCAUGCACUGGGGGUGCCAGGCGUGGUGAGCGGGGCAUGCCUGAAUGCUGAUUGGGGCGGUCUUCUCAUGCCUAGAAGGACCAAAUUGUAAAGGGUACAAAGUUUCUAGGGCAAAACUAUAAUUUUAAGAAAUAUGGGGCAAAAAUGUAAUUUU